RNAcentral lists this ribosomal RNA (440 nucleotides) under uncultured bacterium. RNAcentral's name for it is "partial 16S ribosomal RNA". It matches the Rfam family "Bacterial small subunit ribosomal RNA", at positions 338 to 795 of the family's 1533-position model. The record is from RNAcentral.
CCUACGGGAGGCAGCAGUGGGGAAUAUUGCACAAUGGGGGAAACCCUGAUGCAGCGACGCCGCGUGAGCGAUGAAGUAUUUCGGUAUGUAAAGCCCUUUCAGCAGGGAAGAAAAUGACGGUACCUGACUAAGAAGCACCGGCUAACUACGUGCCAGCAGCCGCGGUAAUACGUAGGGGGCAAGCGUUAUCCGGAUUUACUGGGCGUAAAGGGCGCGUAGACGGGGGUGCAAGCCAGAUGUGAAAGCCUGGGGCUCAACCCCAGGACUGCAUUUGAAACUGUGCUGCUAGAGUAUCGGAGAGGCAGGCGGAAUUCCUGGUGUAGCGGUGAAAUGCGUAGAGAUUAGGAGGAACACCAGUGGCGAAGGCGGCCUGCUGGACGAUGACUGACGUUGAGGCGCGAAAGCGUGGGGAGCAAACAGGAUUAGAUACCCGAGUAGUC